This 489-nucleotide ribosomal RNA is filed under the name uncultured bacterium. RNAcentral describes it as "bacterial SSU rRNA". It matches the Rfam family "Bacterial small subunit ribosomal RNA", at positions 39 to 518 of the family's 1533-position model. The record is from RNAcentral.
AGCGGCAGGCCUAAUACAUGCAAGUCGAGGGGCGAGCAUGACUGUAGCAAUACAGUUGAUGGCGACCGGCAAACGGGUGCGGAACACGUGCGCAACUACCCUUAAUAGGGGAUAGCCCAGGGAAACUUGGAUUAAUACCUUUUAUUAUUAUGGAGUGGCAUCACUUUAUAAUGAAAGCUCCGGCGCUUAAGGAUGGGCGCGCGUCUGAUUAGGUAGUUGGCGGGGUAACGGCCCACCAAGCCUACGAUCAGUAACUGGUGUGAGAGCACGACCAGUCACACGGGCACUGAGACACGGGCCCGACUCCUACGGGAGGCAGCAGUAAGGAAUAUUGGUCAAUGGACGCAAGUCUGAACCAGCCAUGCCGCGUGGAAGGAUGACUGCCCUCUGGGUUGUAAACUCCUUUUAUUUGGGAAGAAAUCUACGAUUUUGAUUGUAGUUGACGGUACCAUUUGAAUAAGCACCGGCUAACUCCGUGCCAGCAGCAGC